This is a long non-coding RNA of Chrysemys picta bellii (western painted turtle), 1633 nucleotides long. The record is from Ensembl. NCBI's taxonomy places the organism in Eukaryota, Metazoa, Chordata, Testudines, Emydidae.
AAAACCCUUAGGACAAUGUUAGAGGGAAGGAAAGUCUGCAACAAUUCCCUUCUGGAGCUCCCUCCAAGUGUCCUGUCAGAGAUAUACCCACUAUAGAUUUAACUGAUGUAAUUUCUCCCUGGAACGCAAGCCACCCCAAAAUGGGCAGGGAGCCAUGACCCAGCACUUUCUAGGGUUCGUGCUAGAGUGGUUCAGCUCAGUCAUAGGCAUAUGCCUACUAGGCGCAACCUGGUCUUCAGAAAGGAGGUUGACAACAUGUCAGCUUCUCAUCCACACCAGUCAUACACCUGAUAGCUGAAGAUCACAUUUGUCACUGCCUCCUCCAACAAAAAAUGUCAUUUGAUGCAGGAGCAAACUUGUCAUCACCUCAAGCUGACCAUGUGAAUCCUUUUCCCAGCUUCAUGCUCAGAAAUUUCAUGACACAGUAGAGAUUUACACAUGUAGGACAGGAACACAGGGAUGAAACAAGCCAGCUCUUUAUUUUCACUAAUGUUCUUUCCUUUUUGCUGCCUUCUCCCAGGUUUGAUGGGAGCCCUUGGGAAUCUACAUGUAAGCAAUACUCAUGUCUUCAUUCUGCUGCCAGCUUCUCUCAGCCUUCCCCUCCACUGUAAAUCAACGCGGGGAGAGAAAUAAAUGAAGAAUGGGGGAAAUGCCUCUUGGGAAACUGACUUUGUGGAGCAAGGUCUGCCAAUGGAUAACCCGACCUUGUGCAUAUAAUUUUGGAAUUAGUAUUUGCCAGGAUUCUACACAAUGUCCCUGUUCUGUUUUUAUAAGCAUCUGAUUGCAUGGAACACAAGCUUUUAUAUCUUUUUCUAGGCCACAUUUCUAUUUUGUAAUAUGUUUCGAAUCAAAGGGAAAAAGCAAUCUCACACAAUCAAGCUAGAGCUGCCAUUAGAUGAUUCAUUCUCUUUCAAAGAGGAUUACCGGUCAAAGCCACCCAAAAACAACCUCAGGAUGAUCUUGCAAUUUUGCAGGGAGGAUAUGCCUAAAAAGAGUUAAGCAGGCCUGCAAGAUUAGUCAGCAACACCUGUUUUACUGUCUACAUAUUCAGUUCUCUAUUACCGCUGCCCCUAAUCCCUCUCUUUUUCCUCCUCUUUAAAAAAUUAUGAGUUUGGCACAGUAACACCAAACAAGUGCAUUCCAAGAGUUGAACAAUUUGGUAUACUUAAUAGGUACCUACUCCCAUUAUAAAUUAUGUAUACUGUAUGAAAACAUAGGGCAUUCUUCUCUCACUUACACUAGUGUAAAUCAGGAAUAACUCUGUGGAAGUCAGUGGAGUUACACUAACGUACGUGAGAGAAGAAUCUACCCCAAUGUAGCUACCAGAGUUGCCAACUCUAAUGAUUUAUUGUGAGUCACCUGAUGUUUGAUUUUUUUUUAGCUCCUGGGGUCAUGUUAUUUUGUGAAAAUAUCAGCUUUCAUUUACUAUUUAAAAAAUUAAGUCUGCAGGGGAAAGCUUGAAUAUGCAAACACUUGACUAAAAAAAACCAGAAGAACCCCCACAUUUUAUAUUGUUUAAAAUCUCAUUAGUUUGAAGCCAAUUGCAUGAUUUUGCAGGGGCCUAAACACUUGGGGUUGCAACACUGAGCUUCCCUUCAAUAAGGCAGGUGUACGUGAUAGGUAAGACAGACCA